UCUCCGUAGGUGAACCAGCGGAGGGAUCAUUACUGGAAUCGCAAGAUCCCACAACCCUGUGAACCUACCGAAACGUUGCCUCGGCGGGUACCUGGCCCCCGCGCCGGGCGCUGCGCCCGCCGGAGGCCCACUACUCUGUCUAUGCAGCGUAGCAUCCCAGAGUCCCAGAAAACAAGUCAAAACUUUCAACAACGGAUCUCUUGGCUCUA
RNAcentral lists this unclassified non-coding RNA (209 nucleotides) under plant metagenome. RNAcentral describes it as "partial contains small subunit ribosomal RNA, internal transcribed spacer 1, and 5.8S ribosomal RNA". The record is from RNAcentral.